This 32-nucleotide non-coding RNA is filed under the name Geobacter sulfurreducens PCA. The record is from RNAcentral. Lineage: Bacteria; Pseudomonadati; Thermodesulfobacteriota; Desulfuromonadia; Geobacterales; Geobacteraceae.
CUCACCCAAUGACCUGGUACUGCCCGGUAUAU